This 73-nucleotide transfer RNA is filed under the name Fonticula alba. It matches the Rfam family "tRNA". From Rfam's summary of the family: Transfer RNA (tRNA) molecules are approximately 80 nucleotides in length. Lineage: Eukaryota; Rotosphaerida; Fonticulaceae. The record is from Rfam by way of RNAcentral.
GGGGUUAUAGCUCAGUUGGUAGAGCAAUUGCUUUGCAAGCAAAAGGUCAUGGGUUCGAAUCCCAUUAAUUCCA